RNAcentral lists this ribosomal RNA (434 nucleotides) under Thaumatosmylus punctulosus. Its description in RNAcentral is "partial large subunit ribosomal RNA". It matches the Rfam family "Bacterial large subunit ribosomal RNA", at positions 1854 to 2543 of the family's 2925-position model. Lineage: Eukaryota; Metazoa; Arthropoda; Insecta; Neuroptera; Osmylidae. The record is from RNAcentral.
CUAACCUGCCCACUGAUUUAUUAAAGGGCCGCGGUAUAUUGACUGUGCAAAGGUAGCAUAAUCAUUUGUCUUUUAAUUGAAGGCUAGAAUGAAUGGUUGAAUGAGAUAUAUGCUGUCUCAUUUUAAUAAAUAUAAAAAUUUAGCUUUUAAGUUAAAAGGCUUAAAUAAAGUUAAAGGACGAGAAGACCCUAUAGAUCUUUAUAUAAUUUAUAAAUUAAUAAAUUUAAGAACACAAAAAUUUUAAAUUAUAAAAUAUAUUUGGUUGGGGUGACUGGAAGAUUUAAAGAACUAUUUUUAUUUUAUACCAUAAAUUUAUGAAUAAUUGAUCCAAUUUUAUUGAUUAAAAGUUUAAGUUACCUUAGGGAUAACAGCGUAAUUUUUUUAGAGAGUUCUUAUCGAUAAAAUAGAUUGCGACCUCGAUGUUGAAUUAAAGA